GAUGAACGCUGGCGGCGUGCCUAAUACAUGCAAGUCGAGCGAACAGACGAGGAGCUUGCUCCUCUGACGUUAGCGGCGGACGGGUGAGUAACACGUGGAUAACCUACCUAUAAGACUGGGAUAACUUCGGGAAACCGGAGCUAAUACCGGAUAAUAUAUUGAACCGCAUGGUUCAAUAGUGAAAGACGGUUUUGCUGUCACUUAUAGAUGGAUACGCGCCGCAUUAGCUAGUUGGUAAGGUAGCGGCUUACCAAGGCAAAGAUUCGUAGCCGCGCUGGACGGGGGAUCGGCCACACUGGAACUGAGACACGGUCCAGACGCCUACGGGAGGAAGCAGUAGAGAAUCUUCCGCAAUGGUCGAAAGCCUGACUGAGCAACGCCGCGUGAGUGAUGAAGGUCUUCGGAUCGUAAAACUCUGUUAUUAGGGAAGAACAAAUGUGUAAGUAACUAUGCACGUCUUGACGGUACCUAAUCAGAAAGCCACGGCUAACUACGUGCCAGCCGCCGCGGUAA
This 513-nucleotide ribosomal RNA is filed under the name uncultured bacterium. RNAcentral's name for it is "partial 16S ribosomal RNA". It matches the Rfam family "Bacterial small subunit ribosomal RNA", at positions 28 to 523 of the family's 1533-position model. The record is from RNAcentral.